Rhagoletis zephyria (snowberry fruit fly) is the source of this 311-nucleotide long non-coding RNA. RefSeq lists it as uncharacterized. Lineage: Eukaryota; Metazoa; Arthropoda; Insecta; Diptera; Tephritidae. The record is from RefSeq and is a predicted model, not a curated record.
UGAUGCAAUAAUGAAAGGUGUUAUACGUUGGCAACUUCUCGCUCUAAUCCGCCAUCUUGAACUACCUUAGGAGAAACUGUGUUGUUUCUUUGCUAUUUUCACUGAACAUUUCCCAAAAUAUUAGAAAAAAAUUCUGAACAAGCUACAUUGAUUAAAUUUUCGUUGUUCGUUUUGUUCUUAUUCGCUGACAUUUGUUUUCCAAUUGCGUGAAAUUUGGUAAUUUCCUUAGUGUUUCGCUGACCGACCUGUGCUGGUAUUGUGAUUAAGAGCUAAUACACAUUUUUCGGACGAUUCUGCUGUGCUGCGUUCCU